RNAcentral lists this ribosomal RNA (843 nucleotides) under uncultured marine bacterium. RNAcentral's name for it is "bacterial SSU rRNA". It matches the Rfam family "Bacterial small subunit ribosomal RNA", at positions 62 to 952 of the family's 1533-position model. The record is from RNAcentral.
UCGAACGCAGUAGCAAUACUGAGUGGCAAACGGGUGAGUAUAAUGUGGGAAUCUGCCUUUUGGUUUGGAAUAACACGGGGAAACUUGUGCUAAUACCGGAUAAGCCCUUACGGGGAAAGUUUUAACGCCGAAAGAUGAGCCUGCACUUGAUUAGCUAGUUGGUAAGGUAAAAGCUUACCAAGGCAACGAUCAAUAGCUGUUCUUAGAGGAAGACCAGCCACAUUGGGACUGAGACACGGCCCAGACUCCUACGGGAGGCAGCAGUGGGGAAUCUAGCACAAUGGGGGAAACCCUGAUGCAGCGAUGCCGCGUGAGUGAAGAAGGCCUUUGGGUUGUAAAACUCUUUCGUCGGGGAAGAAAAUGACUGUACCCGAAUAAGAAGGUCCGGCUAACUUCGUGCCAGCAGCCGCGGCAAUACGAAGGGACCUAGCGUAGUUCGGAAUUACUGGGCUUAAAGAGCUCGUAGGUGGUUAAAAAAGUUGAUGGUGAAAUCCCAAGGCUCAACCUUGGAACUGCCAUCAAAACUUUUUAGCUAGAGCGUGAUAGAGGUAAGUGGAAUUUCUAGUGUAGAGGUGAAAUUCGUAGAUAUUAGAAAGAACACCAAAUGCGAAGGCAACUUACUGGGUCACUACUGACACUGAGGAGCGAAAGCAUGGGUAGCGAAGAGGAUUAGAUACCCUCGUAGUCCAUGCCGUAAACGAUGUGUGCUAGACGUUGGAAAUUUAUUUUUCAGUGUCGCAGCGAAAGCAUUAAGCACACCGCCUGGGGAGUACGACCGCAAGGUUAAAACUCAAAUGAAUUGACGGGGGACCCGCACAAGCAGUGGAGCAUGUGGUUUAAUUC